CCUACGAGAGGCAGCAGUGAGGAAUAUUGGUCAAUGGGCGCGAGCCUGAACCAGCCAAGUAGCGUGAAGGAUGACUGCCCUACGGGUUGUAAACUUCUUUUAUAAAGGAAUAAAGUGAGGCACGUGUGCCUUUUUGUAUGUACUUUAUGAAUAAGGAUCGGCUAACUCCGUUCCAGCAGCCGCGGUAAUACGGCGGAGCCGAGCGUUAUCCGGAUUUAUUGGGUUGAAAGGGAGCGUAGAUGGGUUGUUAAGUCAGAUGUGAAAGUUUGCGGCUCAACCGUAAAAUUGCAAUGGAUACUGGCAGUCUUGAGUACAGUUGAGGUAGGCGGAAUUCGUGGUGGAGCGGUGAAAUGCUUAGAUAUCACGAAGAACUCCGAUUGCGAAGGCAGCUUACUAAACUGCCACUGACAUUGAUGCUCGAAAGUGUGGGUAUCAAACAGGAUUAGAUACCCGUGUAGUC
This 460-nucleotide ribosomal RNA is filed under the name uncultured bacterium. RNAcentral's name for it is "partial 16S ribosomal RNA". It matches the Rfam family "Bacterial small subunit ribosomal RNA", at positions 338 to 795 of the family's 1533-position model. The record is from RNAcentral.